Molecule: long non-coding RNA, 477 nt
Filed under: Pogona vitticeps (central bearded dragon)
Lineage: Eukaryota; Metazoa; Chordata; Lepidosauria; Squamata; Agamidae
Description: lncRNA (ENSPVIG00000025625.1)
Source: RNAcentral
ACUGUAUCCCAUUACACAGACCUCCAGAACUCAUGAAGGUGCCUACCAUAUAGAUGUUCACAUAAGGGCCAUGUGGAUUCCUAUACUGUCUGAGAAACAUAAUAAAACUUCCAUUAGAGGAGAAAACCUUCUCUGGAAACAUGGACAAAAUGAAAUUAAAAUGCUGUUCCAGAUUCCUAGGUCUGAGCACAAGAGAGUCAUCCAACUGUGUAUGAAGAACAGAGGUAUAAUGAAAGGAAAGCAAGCAGCAACGGGCUACCUGAAAAUCCAUGCGAACUCUAGGAGAAGCAUCUCUGCUCUCAUCCCAGUCUUCUUAAAAGGCAGGAGAGGGAGAUGUCUCAUUGGACUGCAACUCUCAGGACUGUGACUAGGGUGCAGCAGUUGGGGCUUUGCUUAGAGGGCACCAAAAUCUGGAAUCCAUAUCCUGAUGACUGGUUGUAAAAUAAAUGGCAACACUGGCCAGCCUUUUUAAAAAUC